CCACCCCACCCCAUCCCCCCGGCUCUUUCUUACUGGUGAAGGCGUGGGGCAGCGUGAGCAGCACGGAGACGCGCACCUUGACGGAGAAAGCCAUGCCCAGCCCCAACGCGGCGCCCAGCACGGCCGUGCUGAGCAGGCAGAACCACGCGUUGCCGCUCUGCACCAGUAACACCAGUGCCCCGUACAGACUGGCCAGGCCCAUGCCCAACGCGAAUCCGGCCGCGCUGCGCACCGCCUCCUGCGCCCGGCUCUGCUCCUCCGCCCGCCUGCCCCACAGCCACCGCUUCGCCCUCUCCAUGUCGACUCGGGGGUCUCCCGGUGCGGAACCCGUCGCCGUGCCACCGCGCCCCGGUUCCCCGUGACGACACGCGGCCAUGAGCAUGGAGCCACGCGGGAGGCAGAAGCCGCCCAACACGACCCUGAAGCGGGUGCUGGGCGCCCUGCUGCCCAAACCCUGCACCCAGUUCCUCUGGAGCCGCCCCGAGCAGCAUCGCGGGGCCAAGUUCUUCCUGGGGGGAGGAUUCGGGGCCCUCCUCGGCCUUGGGCUCUGCCAGCUCCUCAUCAUCCCCAUGGACGUCGGGGAGACGCUCAAACUGCGGCUGACGUGUGGGCUGGCGGGUGAGGACGGGGCCCCAGCGGGGGGAUGGGGGGCGAUGG
RNAcentral lists this long non-coding RNA (657 nucleotides) under Numida meleagris (helmeted guineafowl). RNAcentral's name for it is "lncRNA (ENSNMEG00000000602.1)". Lineage: Eukaryota; Metazoa; Chordata; Aves; Galliformes; Numididae. The record is from RNAcentral.